AGAGCGGCGAAGCGAUGAGAUGUUUUCAGAUUCAUCUAUUUAUUUAAGGAAGAAGAAAAAAAAAAAAAAAAAAAAAAAAGAACAGACAAAAACCGCUCCUGCACUGCCGGCCCAGGCCCAGCGGGCUGGGGUCUCCCUCAGGCGAUAACACAGCCGCCCUUCUCCUUGAAGGGGUUCUUCUCCUCCGGGACGCCCUUCACCAGCGGGUCUUCUCCCGAGCGCUCCUCGAUGUAGUUCUUGAUCUCCUCGGAGCACUUGGACACCGGCUGCCUCUCCAGCUUCACUUCUUUCCGGAGCUGCUCCACUUCCAUUUUCAGUUUGUCCUUCUCGCUCAGAUCCUCGAUGUUGAUCGCCGGCAUGGUGUGCGCCGGUGCCGCCGGGCUGCUCCGCGGCGACCGCUUCCUCCCCACCGCGCCGGCACCCUGCCCCGCGCCGCCCGGCCUUUAAACUCCGAGUUAAUCCCCUCUAAUCGGAUUACGGGCCCGCCCGGCACCGCGCUCGGGACGUUCAGACUGCGUGGCCCCAGCGCCCCGCAUCCGGCGGGCUGCCGGCACCCGCUCCCCUCCUCGCCCCGUGUGGCAGAGGCAGCCGGGGGCUGCCCAGAACUCAGCCCUCUCCCCUGCUCCUUCUGUACCUCAGUGCUGCGUGGUCGUGUGCGACUGGCGUGCUGAGAGAGGUGAGCUGAUCGCAGCAGGUGCUUUUCUUGGGCACAUUCCCCCGAAGUUCUGUGUUAA
Molecule: long non-coding RNA, 734 nt
Filed under: Gallus gallus (chicken)
Lineage: Eukaryota; Metazoa; Chordata; Aves; Galliformes; Phasianidae
Source: RNAcentral